GUGUUCGCUUCAGCAGCACAUAUACUAAAACUGAAAUGAUACAGAGAUUAGCAUGGCCCCUGCACAAAGAUGCUAUGCAAAUUUGUGAAGUGUUUCAUAUUUUU
Small nuclear RNA from Budorcas taxicolor (takin), 104 nucleotides. NCBI's taxonomy places the organism in Eukaryota, Metazoa, Chordata, Mammalia, Artiodactyla, Bovidae. The record is from RefSeq and is a predicted model, not a curated record.